RNAcentral lists this RNase P RNA (275 nucleotides) under Mycobacterium avium subsp. hominissuis. RNAcentral describes it as "RNase P RNA component class A". It matches the Rfam family "Bacterial RNase P class A", at positions 20 to 281 of the family's 367-position model. Rfam says of the family: Ribonuclease P (RNase P) is a ubiquitous endoribonuclease, found in archaea, bacteria and eukarya as well as chloroplasts and mitochondria. Lineage: Bacteria; Bacillati; Actinomycetota; Actinomycetes; Mycobacteriales; Mycobacteriaceae. The record is from RNAcentral.
CGGCUCGUAUCCCGAGUCGAGGAAAGUCCGGACUUCACAGAGCAGGGUGAUUGCUAACGGCAAUCCGAGGUGACUCGCGGGAAAGUGCCACAGAAAACAGACCGCCACCCUCGCGGUGGUAAGGGUGAAACGGUGCGGUAAGAGCGCACCAGCACCCCGGGUGACCGGGGUGGCUCGGCAAACCCCACCCGAAGCAAGGCCAAGAAGGCCGUGCCGCCGGCACGGCCGCGCAGGCGUCCGAGGGUUGCUCGCCCGAGCCUGCGGGUAGGCCGCUC